This is a long non-coding RNA of Cucumis melo (muskmelon), 1955 nucleotides long. RefSeq lists it as uncharacterized. Lineage: Eukaryota; Viridiplantae; Streptophyta; Magnoliopsida; Cucurbitales; Cucurbitaceae. The record is from RefSeq and is a predicted model, not a curated record. The transcript has 3 exons.
UGUGGAAAAAAAAAGAAAAAAAAAUGGAAAUUAAGUGUAAAUAUAAAUAUAUAUAUUUAUAUAUUAAAUAGUUUUAUUAAAUUAAUUAAAGAAAAGAAAGAAAAGAAAGGACAAAAAGAAGAAAAGGAGAAGAAAAUUUCAUUUUCUCUUUUCUUCUUCUUCUUCUCUUCCCUUCACCGCCAAGUUUGAAGACAUCCAAGUUCCCUUUAUUUUUUUGUUCUUUUUCCUUCUUCAAUUUGCAGAGAACUUCUAAGAGAGAGUUUGGAAGAAGAAGAGAAAUUUUACUAGAAUUUUUAGGUGGAAGAAGAGGAGGAGAACUCAAGCAAAGUGUAUCAAUGGCUGAAUUUUAGUUCAUUCUGCACAUCACUGGUUUUUAAUUCGGUUUGAACUCUUCAAAAGGAAUUAAGAGAAAACAGGGCAGUUGGUUUUCACUCGAAAUCAGGAGGUCUCUGGUUUUUCUUGUAUUUCAGAGUGUAUCGGUGGAGUUAGAAUUUCUAUUUGGAACAAGUUAAAGAGGUCGUGUGCGCGCGAUUCUGAAGUGGUUCUGUUUUGAGGGUUAUAUGUGUUUAUGCACGGGGAAUCAGAUUUAUAUGUCUUCAGAUAAGUUUUAGAGGAUCUCAAAAUGAAGAGUUUGAUAUAAAGAACACUCAUUUUGGUUAAGUAUUGAGAAAGUUAUAGUUCUUUGAAGUUUAUGUUAGAAAUCUGGAAAUUUUAGAGAAUUGUUGAAAUAGGAUUUUAUUUCUUAAGCUUUGUUUUCGAGCGUCAUCUUUGGUGCGACAUGUUAUGUAUAUCUUUAGGAAACCAGAAUGUUUAAGGUUUUAAUACUCGGUUGGGUUGUUGGCAGGCCGAGAAGAAUUAAACCGAGCUUAUAGACCAAGGAUCUAGCCCAAGACUGUGAGUGACAAAACCAACUUUGAAAUAUUUUCCAUAACUGUUAUUAUGAUUGAAUGCGAUAAAUGUUUAUUUACAAAGCCAUGAAAGGUAUUUGAAUUUCAUGACUAUUUUCAAGUAUACAUUUGAAGACUAGAUUUCUUAAAGAAAUUUAUGCUAGCACGUAGAUAUUAAAUGUUUGGAAAGUAUUUAAACCACAAUAUUUUAAGCAAAGCAUGAAUUAGUAUGAAGUUUUGUUUUAAGAACUACAAUUUUCCACGAAAGAGCUGAGUAAAGUUCGAGCUUUGUGUAAAAUUUAUAAGCAGGCAUGUUUUAAUAUUUUAUAAUGAUUUAUGGAAUUUUCAUUAACUACAUGACUGAGAUCUUGAGCCUGAGGCUAGAGAUUACCGUGUGCACACUGGUUAGAUUUCGUUGUUGACGUUGAGUGUACUCCGUAACAACGAUGCUGUCGUGAGUGCUGGGCGGGCCCCACUACGACAAAGACGAUGGGAGUGCUGGGCGGGCCCCACUACAUCUUAGUGCUUGUAAACGUUGUUGUACUAGGUGUACCCUACACAACGUAGAUUCGUCAUGUUAGUUAAAAUGCUUCGAUAUACUUGAUAUGCCUUGCUAGAUUUCAAUGAUGAACAUGCUGAGUAUUUAAGGAAGCUAUUCUUACUAUUACACAUUUACAUUUACGACUUGUAUAAACAUAUUUAUAUGUGUAAAGUUUUCACGUGCUCUUAUCUUAAAAUUCAUAGUUUUAAACUGAGUCACUCACUGAGCUCCAUAGCUCACCCUUUCCAAAAUGUUUUACCCAUUUUCCAGGUAGAGAUCGACUUCCCGGUGCCUGAUAGACUGCCUUAGUCUGCGGAAGCUUCAUUAUCGAUUGCCAGUACGUGUUUUGAGUUGGGCAUAAAGUCUGUUGUGUUGUGAUGUAUUCACACCCUUGUAUGUUAUAGAUACUCCACAGUUUGUAUAAGCUUUAGGAGCUGUAGUUGUGUAAAUUUUGUUGGUUAUAUUUUGAUUAAGGUGUCUUUAGGUUUACUCGUGAAAUUGGUAAAUUUUGAGGUACACUUCAUGUA